This 490-nucleotide ribosomal RNA is filed under the name uncultured bacterium. Its description in RNAcentral is "partial 16S ribosomal RNA". It matches the Rfam family "Bacterial small subunit ribosomal RNA", at positions 30 to 507 of the family's 1533-position model. The record is from RNAcentral.
AUUGAACGCUGGCGGCAGGCCUAACACAUGCAAGUCGAACGGUAACAGGAAGCAGCUUGCUGCUUUGCUGACGAGUGGCGGACGGGUGAGUAAUGUCUGGGAAACUGCCCGAUGGAGGGGGAUAACUACUGGAAACGGUAGCUAAUACCGCAUAACGUCGCAAGACCAAAGAGGGGGACCUUAGGGCCUCUUGCCAUCGGAUGUGCCCAGAUGGGAUUAGCUAGUAGGUAGGGUAACGGCUCACCUAGGCGACGAUCCCUAGCUGGUCUGAGAGGAUGACCAGCCACACUGGAACUGAGACACGGUCCAGACUCCUACGGGAGGCAGCAGUGGGGAAUAUUGCACAAUGGGCGCAAGCCUGAUGCAGCAAUGCCGCGUGUAUGAAGAAGGCCUUCGGGUUGUAAAGUACUUUCAGCGGGGAGGAAGGGAGUAAAGUUAAUACCUUUGCUCAUUGACGUUACCCGAAGAAGAAGCACCGGCUAACUCCGUG